UACGGGGGAGCAAGCGUUGUUCGGAUUUACUGGGCGUAAAGGCGCGUAGGCGGCCAGCACAAGUCAGUUGUGAAAUCUCCGAGCUUAACUCGGAAAGGUCAACUGAUACUGUGCGGCUAGAGUGCAGAAGGGCAACUGGAAUUCUUGGUGUAGCGGUGAAUGCGUAGAUAUCAAGAGGAACACCUGCGGCGAAGGCGGUUGCUGGCUGACACUGACGCUGAGGCGCGAAAGCUAGGGAGCAAACAGG
Molecule: ribosomal RNA, 247 nt
Filed under: uncultured bacterium
Lineage: Bacteria
Description: partial 16S ribosomal RNA
Rfam family: Bacterial small subunit ribosomal RNA
Source: RNAcentral